This is a long non-coding RNA of Pomacea canaliculata, 414 nucleotides long. RefSeq lists it as uncharacterized. Lineage: Eukaryota; Metazoa; Mollusca; Gastropoda; Architaenioglossa; Ampullariidae. The transcript has 5 exons. The record is from RefSeq and is a predicted model, not a curated record.
AAAAAAGAUCAAGUGUCCUCUCUUGAAAGACUGGCAGUGAAUUUGUGGCGAAGCUAUCACAUAAAAGUACAGCUACUGCUCCUAAAGAUGUUAGCCUCACGUUUGAGUGCCUUGAAUCAGGUCUGCACAUCGUCGACGACACAGCAGCUGCAGAAGCGUUUGGGCGAACUGUUGCCUACUUAACGCCCUCUCAUCAGUCUGGUAAGACCCCGCUAGAAAUUUGCCGAACGUUCGACUGUUUGAAAUCAGGUGCUUACAUCCCCAACAACAUUGAUACCGCAGUGGGUCCUUGCAAGGACUUUUAUCAGUUCGCGUGCGGACGCUGGAUUAAGGAGAAUCCAAUACCCAAAAGUUCCACAGGUUCCAAAGGAUUUGCUAAAACAGAUUUGGCUAGUUUCGUAACUAAAGAAACUG